Molecule: ribosomal RNA, 258 nt
Filed under: uncultured bacterium
Lineage: Bacteria
Description: partial 16S ribosomal RNA
Rfam family: Bacterial small subunit ribosomal RNA
Source: RNAcentral
CGGCGGACGGGUGAGUAACGCGUGGGUAACCUGCCCGAUACAGGGGGAUAACAGUUAGAAAUGAUUGCUAAUACCGCAUAAGCGCACGGAGCCGCAUGGCGCUGAGUGAAAAACGAUAGUGGUAUAGGAGGGACCCGCGUCUGAUUAGGUAGUUGGUGAGGUAACGGCCCACCAAGCCGACGAUCAGUAGCCGACCUGAGAGGGUGACCGGCCACAUUGGGACUGAGACACGGCCCAAACUCCUACGGAAGGCAGCAG